Molecule: ribosomal RNA, 484 nt
Filed under: uncultured bacterium
Lineage: Bacteria
Description: partial 16S ribosomal RNA
Rfam family: Bacterial small subunit ribosomal RNA
Source: RNAcentral
GAUGAACGUUGGCGGUGUGUCUAAUACAUGCAAGCCGAGCGAAAUCAGGGGCAACUCUGGUUUAGCGGCAAACGGGUGCGUAAUACGUUGGAACCUGCCUCAAACUCAGGGAUAACUCCGCGAAAGCGGAGCUAAUACCGGAUGGUCCUGCAAAGGUAAAGACGCAAGUCGGUUUGAGAGGGUCCUGCGGCCUAUCAGCUAGGUGGUGGGGUAAAGGCUUACCAAGGCGAUGAUCGGUAGCUGGUCUGAGAGGAUGAUCAGCCACACUGGGACUGAGACACGGCCCAGACUCCUACGGGAGGCAGCAGUGGGGAAUUUUGGACAAUGGGGGCAACCCUGAUCCAGCCAUUCCGCGUGAGUGAAGAAGGCCUUCGGGUUGUAAAGCUCUUUUGUCCGGAGCGAAACGGGAGCGGUGAAUGUCCGCUUCUACUGACGGUACCGGAAGAAUAAGCACCGGCUAACUACGUGCCAGCCGCCGCGGUAA